AGCUCAAAUUUGAAAUCUGGCUCCGGCCCGAAUUGUAAUUUGUAGAGGAUGCUUUUGGCGCGGCGCCUUCCGAGUUCCCUGGAAUGGGACGCCAUAGAGGGUGAGAGCCCCGUAUGGUUGGAUGCCAAACCUCUGUAAAGCUCCUUC
RNAcentral lists this ribosomal RNA (147 nucleotides) under Annulusmagnus sp. RNAcentral's name for it is "partial large subunit ribosomal RNA". It matches the Rfam family "Eukaryotic large subunit ribosomal RNA", at positions 106 to 258 of the family's 3401-position model. The record is from RNAcentral. Lineage: Eukaryota; Fungi; Ascomycota; Sordariomycetes; Annulatascales; Annulatascaceae.